UCCCUGGUGGUCCAGUAGCUAAGACUCUGCAUUCACAAUGCAGGGGGCCCAGGUUCGAUCCCUGAUCAAGGAA
RNAcentral lists this transfer RNA (73 nucleotides) under Bos taurus (domestic cattle). It matches the Rfam family "tRNA". Rfam says of the family: Transfer RNA (tRNA) molecules are approximately 80 nucleotides in length. Their secondary structure includes four short double-helical elements and three loops (D, anti-codon, and T loops). The record is from Rfam by way of RNAcentral. Lineage: Eukaryota; Metazoa; Chordata; Mammalia; Artiodactyla; Bovidae. RNAcentral also lists the same sequence under 1 other name.